GACGAACGCUGGCGGCGUGCCUAAUACAUGCAAGUCGAACGCUUUUUCUUUCACCGGAGCUUGCUCCACCGAAAGAAAAAGAGUGGCGAACGGGUGAGUAACACGUGGGUAACCUGCCCAUCAGAAGGGGAUAACACUUGGAAACAGGUGCUAAUACCGUAUAACAAGUAAAACCGCAUGGUUUUACUUUGAAAGGCGCUUUUGCGUCACUGAUGGAUGGACCCGCGGUGCAUUAGCUAGUUGGUGAGGUAACGGCUCACCAAGGCAACGAUGCAUAGCCGACCUGAGAGGGUGAUCGGCCACAUUGGGACUGAGACACGGCCCAAACUCCUACGGGAGGCAGCAGUAGGGAAUCUUCGGCAAUGGACGAAAGUCUGACCGAGCAACGCCGCGUGAGUGAAGAAGGUUUUAGGAUCGUAAAACUCUGUUGUUAGAGAAGAACAAGGACGAGAGUAAAAUGUUCAUCCCUUGACGGUAUCUAACCAGAAAGCCACGGCUAACUACGUGCCAGCAGCCGCGGUAAUACGUAGGUGGCAAGCGUUGUCCGGAUUUAUUGGGCGUAAAGCGAGCGCAGGCGGUUUCUUAAGUCUGAUGUGAAAGCCCCCGGCUCAACCGGGGAGGGUCAUUGGAAACUGGGAAACUUGAGUGCAGAAGAGGAGAGUGGAAUUCCAUGUGUAGCGGUGAAAUGCGUAGAUAUAUGGAGGAACACCAGUGGCGAAGGCGGCUCUCUGGUCUGUAACUGACGCUGAGGCUCGAAAGCGUGGGGAGCAAACAGG
This 776-nucleotide ribosomal RNA is filed under the name uncultured Enterococcaceae bacterium. RNAcentral describes it as "bacterial SSU rRNA". It matches the Rfam family "Bacterial small subunit ribosomal RNA", at positions 28 to 776 of the family's 1533-position model. Lineage: Bacteria; Bacillati; Bacillota; Bacilli; Lactobacillales; Enterococcaceae. The record is from RNAcentral.